AGAGUUUGAUCCUGGCUCAGGACGAACGCUGGCGGCGUGCUUAACACAUGCAAGUCGAGGGGCAGCAUUGGAGUAGCAAUACUUCAGAUGGCGACCGGCGCACGGGCGAGUAACACGUAUCCAACCUGCCGCUUACUCGGGGAUAGCCUUUCGAAAGAAAGAUUAAUACCCGAUGGUAUAAAGAGUUCGCAUGUUCUCUUUAUUAAAGAAUUUCGGUAAGCGAUGGGGAUGCGUUCCAUUAGAUUGUUGGCGGGGUAACGGCCCACCAAGUCUACGAUGGAUAGGGGUUCUGAGAGGAAGGUCCCCCACAUUGGAACUGAGACACGGUCCAAACUCCUACGGGAGGCAGCAGUGAGGAAUAUUGGUCAAUGGACGAGAGUCUGAACCAGCCAAGUAGCGUGAAGGAUGACUGCCCUAUGGGUUGUAAACUUCUUUUAUAAGGGAAUAAAGUGAGGGACGUGUCCCUUUUUGUAUGUACCUUAUGAAUAAGGAUCGGCUAACUCCGUGCCAGCAGCCGCGGUAA
This 523-nucleotide ribosomal RNA is filed under the name uncultured bacterium. RNAcentral's name for it is "bacterial SSU rRNA". It matches the Rfam family "Bacterial small subunit ribosomal RNA", at positions 8 to 523 of the family's 1533-position model. The record is from RNAcentral.